UCACCCUCCAGACGCAUCUCGUGACCGCCUCACAAGUCACCAGAAAGGAGACCCUUCAAUAAUCACAAAAGCCAGCUGAUAUCUUAUACGAUUCUCUCUUCUAUUCCUCGAGUUUAUAGGGAUUGAUUUUGCCUCUAGCUGUUAGAAUAUCGGUAUCUUCAUCGCUCUGUGUUCCUGUUUUUCAAUCGGGUUUGAUUUCAUUGGAGAUUCACAAAAGAAAGGUUUUUAGAAGAGCUAGGGUUAUCAGAUUGGAAUAUUUUCAUAUUGAAAGACCUCCUUUCGUUUGUAUGAUUGAGCUAUGCACUCGCUUCAAAUUUUUGCCUUGUUUCGUUUCUAGCUAUUUCAAAUUAAUAGGUAUUG
Molecule: RNA transcript, 360 nt
Organism: Hevea brasiliensis (rubber tree)
Lineage: Eukaryota; Viridiplantae; Streptophyta; Magnoliopsida; Malpighiales; Euphorbiaceae
Exons: 3
Source: RefSeq, a predicted model, not a curated record